GGAGGAGGAGGGGGUGGAGGACAAGGGGAAGAGGAGGAAGAGGGGGAGGAGGAGCCAUUUUAUCACAUUGGAGCUGCACGCUGCUGCUCUGAAACCGACCACCACCUUCUGUUGGGAUCCCGUGCUUGGAAUCAAACUUUUUUGCUUCAUGAUUCACACCUCCCAUCCCUCUUGCUACUGUUUUUUGAAGUGACAGCAAAGGCAUUUUUUUUUUUUGGAACUGCAUUCCUUAAGAUUCCACCUGCCACCUAAUCAUUAAGUCCCUGCAGAAAGGAAGUAUCAGACACAAAAAACGAAAGAGCACUUCUCCCCUGUCUUCUCUCCUUUCAGCAUCAGGUGUCUCCAUGAGCUAGAGUUCUUGUUAAGGACCAAACAGGAAAAUAAAUGGAAAAUACUUAA
Molecule: long non-coding RNA, 399 nt
Filed under: Homo sapiens (human)
Lineage: Eukaryota; Metazoa; Chordata; Mammalia; Primates; Hominidae
Description: HSALNT0101529
Source: RNAcentral